GCUAGGUUGCACCAAAUCAGGACUAGCUAGCCCUUUCCUCUUCCCUCCCCCCCUGCUUCCUCGCCCCACUGUCACCCAGCUACAUGCCUGUUCCCCAUCUGUCAUAUCUCCUCCCUCUCCGCUACCUGUCCCCACUAAACUCUGCUCAGUGAGCAGUAGACUCCUCUCAAGAUUGUCAAUCUCCCUCAAUGUUGCAAUUUGCUUCUCGAGAUCUCCAAUCUGAGCUUCCAGAGAAGCCACUCGCACACAACCAUCACAGAGGUAUGGACCCUGGACGGGUACAUCCAGGCAGCCAUACAUGCAACAAGAUGUGCAUUGAGUUAAACCAGCAAUCUUGCUAACACUCAUAUCCCCUUUAAACACAAAAAAACAUUUACCUUGAUAGUUUAAACCCCUUGUUAGUUUGAACUCCUGGUUUUCUAACUCCUACUUGAAAGAGUCUACUUAACAGAGGCUGCUUUCAAGUAAUGUGAGCAAGCUCAGUGAGUUAGGGGUGUGCCUUUAUGGGGAUACAAAUCCCACACAGGUGCAAACAAUGAACACUCCCCCAAUCAAUCAAGCAGCAGCACAAAAAAAGGGGGGAAAACCAGAACACAGAGAAAAAAAAAGAAAAUGUAAAAAACAACAUUUUUUUUUUUUUUUUUAAAACCUUACCAACUUUAAAGAUUAAACAAAAAUAAAAUGCAAACCACUCUCCACAGUAUACAAACCACUCCAAGUAACUCCUGGUUUUCUAACUCCUACUUGAAAGAGUCUACUUAACAGAGGCUGCUUUCAAGUAAUGCGGGCGGGCAGUCAAACAAAUGACUUCCAGGAAAUUCCUGAACCCCGGAACUGAUCUUGGUGAAUUUGAAUAUGUUGGUCACCCAGAUCAGGGCUAUCAGGGGAUGGCACUUUGUGGGGUUUUAUCUAUUUUUAGGUCUCUUUUGGGGUGUUUUGGAAAAAUAGUUUUUUUUCUGUACUUGAAGAUAAUUGGAUUAGAUUAGUACAGUUCCUGAUCCAAUUAUCUCCCAGGUACAGAGGAGGGAUUAACUGAUUUUGUAUGGGAGUGUCCUGAACCCGAGAGCCAAUGUAAUUGUGUAUUUGUUCCUACUGUGGUAUACUCUCAGGUCCAGGGGGGGAGUGCCCCUUGCAUGGGGACAUCCAUUAAAGCAUUCCAGCUCGCACUCCAAAACUGUGUCACCCUGUUAUUGGAGGGAAGGAAGAUUUAACCCCGAUGUCUGCUGUUCCAGUGCCUGGGUGUUUCUAGAGCAAAUUCCCCAUUGGCUCCAGAAAGGAGCGGUUCCAGGGCCCCAGUCAAGCCAAGGCAACUGUGGGCAGAAGUGCUGCGGUUUGUUCCCUGUUCCAGCUAGGAAGCGGUCCUUGGCGGAGGUACCCAGCCGGGGUACAGGGAGCUCCAUCACAUUGGUUGGCAGCGGUGGGAUGGCUUCAUAGCCUUGGGAAAACCAGCACUACUGCAGUAUGGAAGGCAAAUACUGCCGAGCAGUAUCCGGCUUCGACGCCAGACUUCAGCAGCGACUAAAGGAUGUGCUGUGCAGUAUGAAGUACUCUAUCCCAGAGGAUAGAGAGACAGAGUGGAGGGUGGAGCUUCAAACCAAUCUCUGGAAAGAGGACCUCGACGAAAUUCGACCCUUCCGGAGUCACUGGCGGAUCCGGGGGGGCACCGGGGCAAUUGUCCCCCCCGAGAAUCCAAGGUUCUCCCUCACCCCUGCCGGCUAAUGCAGGGCUGAUGCUGUCCAACUGCAAUGUGCCUUCAUGGACCGGAGGGGAGAUCAGAGAUCCUCCGGUCCGCAGGCACUGUUUGCUGGCCGCCGGCAGAGGAGGGAGAGAGAGAGGACCCGGAGGAGCUCAGUCUGCAGCUCCUCCAGGUCCUUCUCUCGUGAGCACGGAGCGUUGCCACGGCAACGCUCCGGAUCUCGCGAGAGUGAACUCUAGCCCUGGAGACCGGGGCUAGAGUUCACUCUAACCACGUGGACCAACAGGGAUUCCCCACCAAACCACCAG
This 2004-nucleotide long non-coding RNA is filed under the name Pelobates cultripes (western spadefoot toad). The record is from RNAcentral. Lineage: Eukaryota; Metazoa; Chordata; Amphibia; Anura; Pelobatidae.